RNAcentral lists this long non-coding RNA (1444 nucleotides) under Homo sapiens (human). RNAcentral describes it as "small nucleolar RNA host gene 17". The record is from RNAcentral. Lineage: Eukaryota; Metazoa; Chordata; Mammalia; Primates; Hominidae.
AGGGAGAGGUGAGGAUGAGAAGAGGAGCCAUGUCCUAUGGAUUCCCAGAUCCAGACUCCUCUUCCCUGGGAAAGCUGGAUUGGAGCUGGCCCCUCCUUCUGUGCCUUCAGGGGCUGUGGAGGAGGAGGCCCCUGCAGGGAGCUGCCUGGGGCGAGCGCUGGGGGCUUUUCCUGCAGUGCAUUAGCAGCAUGUCAUAAUGGAAAGUGGCUGGAUUUCUUUCCAGUUGUAAUCAAUGGUUAAGAUUUAACCUAGCAACAUUGUAGGGGUACACAGCCAAAUGAUUCAGGAAAAAAGAUGCAGGUUGAGUCUGGAGGAAUCCCUGUGCCAGCUUCCUCAUGCUCCCUCCCUCUCUCAGAAAUCACAUGGAACCCAUUCUCCCCUCAGCAGUGAAAAUGCAUUCAGCCUGUGUGCAGUGUUUCUGCCCAGGGAAGCCCAGUAGGGCCUCCAUGCCCGGGGUGUUUACUGGGAUCUGGUUAUGUAGACACCACCUGCCUAGCACGCACCAAAAUUCCAGACUUUCAGGAAAACAGGUGCCUGUGCCACAUUAUUUGCACGGAGAGACUGUGUCCAGUGAACGGUUCUGAUCAGUAAACUGUUGACUAGGAACAUCCCGAGAGCCAAGUUCCCAGAUGCCAGCCAAGGGCCAUCUGACCUGUUUUGAAUCUCAAUUUCCUGAUACAGAAAACAAAGGAUUGUCAGCUGACCUCUGUCCUGUGUGCCCAGUGGCCCCAGGUGACGUGUCUUCAAGAAGAGGCUGAGCUGCGGUGCUUGUAAGGGUCUCAUUCUGUCACCCAGGCUGGAGUGCAGUGGUGCAAUGAUGGCUCACUGCAGCCUCGACCUGGGCUCAAGUGAUCCUCCACCUCAGCUUCCUGAGUAGCUGGGACCACAGAGUCAUGUGCUGUUCCUGGGGCUUGGAUGAUGUAGGGGAAGCAAGGUGAAAGUGGUAUCCCGUGGUUCCACGUUCUGUCCUGCUGUGGGGCUGUCCCUCACAUGCUUUCAGUGGCUGUUGCAGAGGAAGAGCCUCCGGAAAUCUGCGUGGGUAAAGUCUCAGCCUUAGAUCCAAGGACAGUCCAAGGAAGUCCUAAGACCAUGGAGUUGGUGAUCUGGGAUCUGGGUUUGCUGAUAUUUCUCACCGUGAAUCUCUUGGUGGUGUUUGUGGGCACGAGAGGGGCAGAGAAUGGAGAGUGAGGCUACCACAUGAAGCGUCACCAGAGCUGCUCCCUGCUGCCUGCUCAGAGCACCCCGGAUCCACUGUUCAAUCUGCACAAGAUUCGGGGUCCAGACAUGGGAGACUUCAGCUGCCUCAGAGGACCGUGGACAGGGAAGGCCAGCCUCGCAUCCCUCUGUCCAUGCCUGGAAUGACUUUAAUAACCAAGAGUUUUAUUUUUGAAUUUGUAGCUGUCGUUCACUUUUUACCCACCCAUUCAAUAAACCUUACAGAAUU